AGGUGAUGAUAUCGUCUUAUUGCUACAAGCCUGAAUGCUCCAGCUCGGAUAAAUUACUACAAGCAGUCAAACAAUUCUACUUAUAAUACAAAAGAUACAUGAACGAAGAUGCUGUAAAGGUCAAAACUUACUUGCUCCAGUUUAUAUAAAAAAGCAGGCCAAACAUUGGUGAUAUCGAGAAGACCCUGGCGAGAAGGUUUGCUGAUCUCUACUCCAAAGGAUGGGCAAUUCUGUUCUUUCCAAUCGAGAGUUUCACACAAAGGUGAUGAUAUCGUCUUAUUGCUACAAGCCUGAAUACUCCAGCUCGGAUAAAUUACUGCAAGCAGUCGAACAAUUCUACUUAUAAUACAAAAGCUACAUGAACGAAGAUGCUGUAAAGGUCAAAACUUACUUGCUCCAGUUUAUAUAAAAAAGCAGGCCAAACAUUGGUGAUAUCGAGAAGACCCUGGCGAGAAGGUUUGCUGAUCUCUACUCCAAAGGAUGGGCAGUUCUGUUCUUUCCAAUCGAGAGUUUCACACAAAGGUGAUGAUAUCGUCUUAUUCCUACAAGCCUGAAUGCUCCAGCUCGGAUAAAUUACUGCAAGCAGUCGAACAAUUCUACUUAUAAUACAAAAGCUACAUGAACGAAGAUGCUGUAA
This is a long non-coding RNA of Ctenocephalides felis (cat flea), 637 nucleotides long. RefSeq lists it as uncharacterized. The record is from RefSeq and is a predicted model, not a curated record. Lineage: Eukaryota; Metazoa; Arthropoda; Insecta; Siphonaptera; Pulicidae. The transcript is spliced from 5 exons.